GGUACGGUAUACUCUGCUCAGGUGAUAGAUGCACCAAAAUCUCAGAAAUCACUGCUGAAGAACUUGUUCAUGUAACUAAACACAACCUGUUCCCCAAAAACCUAUUGAAAUAAAAAAAUUAAAUAUUGAAAAGAAAAAUAUAAUAAUGUUUAAAAUA
Molecule: long non-coding RNA, 157 nt
Organism: Cebus imitator (Panamanian white-faced capuchin)
Lineage: Eukaryota; Metazoa; Chordata; Mammalia; Primates; Cebidae
Exons: 3
Source: RefSeq, a predicted model, not a curated record